RNAcentral lists this ribosomal RNA (496 nucleotides) under uncultured bacterium. Its description in RNAcentral is "partial 16S ribosomal RNA". It matches the Rfam family "Bacterial small subunit ribosomal RNA", at positions 29 to 507 of the family's 1533-position model. The record is from RNAcentral.
AUGAACGCUGGCGGCGUGCCUCAUACAUGCAAGUCGAGCGAACAGACGAGGAGCUUGCUCCUCUGACGUUAGCGGCGGACGGGUGAGUAACACGUGGAUAACCUACCUAUAAGACUGGGAUAACUUCGGGAAACCGGAGCUAAUACCGGAUAAUAUAUUGAACCGCAUGGUUCAAUAGUGAAAGACGGUUUUGCUGCCACUUAUAGAUGGAUCCGCGCCGCAUUAGCUAGUUGGUAAGGUAACGGCUUACCAAGGCAACGAUGCGUAGCCGACCUGAGAGGGUGAUCGGCCACACUGGAACUGAGACACGGUCCAGACUCCUACGGGAGGCAGCAGUAGGGAAUCUUCCGCAAUGGGCGAAAGCCUGACGGAGCAACGCCGCGUGAGUGAUGAAGGUCUUCGGAUCGUAAAACUCUGUUAUUAGGGAAGAACAAAUGUGUAAGUAACUAUGCACGUCUUGACGGUACCUAAUCAGAAAGCCACGGCUAACUACGUG